GGUGGGGGGGUCUUAAUCCUUGCCAAGUCGAACGAUGUCUUAGGAGAUAGUGGCACGACGGGUGUAGUAACGCGUGAGACUCUACCUUCCUGUGUGGUAACAACCAUUGGAAACGGGGGCUAUACCGAAUGUGCCGAUAGGUGAAGAGCUUGCUGCCUGAAAAAGAGCUUGCUUCUGAUUAGUUAUUAGGGGGGGUAAGAGCCUACCUAGGCAACAAUCAUUACUUGGUCUAAAAGAAUGAUCACCCCCUCUGGAACUGAAACACGGCCCAAACUCCUACGGGAGGCAGCAGUGGGGAAUUUUCCGCAUGGGGCGAAAGCCUGACGGAGCAUUACCGCGGGAUGGAGGAAGGCUCUUGGGUUGUAAACCUCUUUUCUCAGGAAAAAAAAACUGACGGUACCUGAAGAAUAACCAUCUGCUAUCUCCGUGCCAGCAGCCGCGGUAAUACGGAGGAUGCAAGCGUUAUCCGGAAUGAUUGGUCGUAAAGGGUCCGCAGGUGGUAUUGUAAGUCUGCUGUUAAAGAGUCACGCUCAACGUGAUAAGAGCAUUGGAAACUACACAACUAGAGUACGGAUAGAGGGCAGGAAAGGAAUUCCUGGGUAUAGCGGAUGAAAUGCGUAGAUAUUCAGGAAGAACACCGGUGGCGAAAAGCGUUCUGCUAGACCUGUAAUGACAAUCUGAGGGAAGAAAGCUAGGGGGAGCAAAUGGGAUUAUAUACCCCAAGUACUCCCUAGCCGUAAAACGAUGGAUACUACGUGUGGCUUAUAUCGACUCCGAGGCGGUACCGUAGCUAACGCGUUAAGUCAUCCCGGCCUGGGUGAGUACGGCACGCAAGUUGAUGACAACUCAAAGUGAAUUGACGGGGGCGGCCCGACACAAGCGGGGUGGAGUAGUGUGGUAUUUUAAUUUCGAUGCAGACGGCAGAAGAACUCUUUAUCCCAAUGGCUUUGACCAUGGUCGGCGGAAUCCUUUAAGUGACAAAUUGAGAUGCGCCUUCGGGAGCGCGAACACAGGUGGUGCAUGGCUGUCGUCAGCUCGUGUCGUGAGAUGUUGGGUUAAGUCCCGCAACGAGCGCAACCCUCGUUUUUAGUUGCCAGCAUUAGGUUGGGCACUCUAGAGAGACUGCCGGUGACAAACCGGAGGAAGGUGGGGAUGACGUCAAGUCAGCAUGCCCCUUACGCGUUGGGUUACACACGUAUUACAAUGCUCCGGACAAAGGGCAGGUACACAGGGAUGUGAGGCAAAUCUCAUAAACCGGAGCUCAGUUCAGAUCGAAGGCUGCAACUCGCGUUCGUGAAGGAGGAAUCGCUAGUAAUUGCAGGUCAGCAUACUGCAGUGAAUUCGUUCCCGGGCCUUGUACACACCGCCCGUCACACCAUGGAAGUUGGUCACGCCCGAAGUCAGUACCCCAACCCUAUGGGAGGGCGGGCAGACCCCCAUC
This 1441-nucleotide ribosomal RNA is filed under the name Nostoc punctiforme MBG-AL315. RNAcentral's name for it is "bacterial SSU rRNA". It matches the Rfam family "Bacterial small subunit ribosomal RNA". Lineage: Bacteria; Bacillati; Cyanobacteriota; Cyanophyceae; Nostocales; Nostocaceae. The record is from RNAcentral.